CCUGCCCCGCGGCCACGCCCCCCGGAGAACGCCUCGGCGCGCGGCCGCCGGAGCCGCCGUUUAAUUGGGGCUGUCAGGCCGCGGUGCGCGCGGAGGGCCGGGCGGGCGGGACGGAGGCCGG
Molecule: microRNA precursor, 121 nt
Filed under: Callithrix jacchus (white-tufted-ear marmoset)
Lineage: Eukaryota; Metazoa; Chordata; Mammalia; Primates; Cebidae
Description: microRNA cja-mir-9942 precursor
Source: miRBase by way of RNAcentral